Cucumis melo (muskmelon) is the source of this 1255-nucleotide long non-coding RNA. RefSeq lists it as uncharacterized. The transcript is spliced from 3 exons. Lineage: Eukaryota; Viridiplantae; Streptophyta; Magnoliopsida; Cucurbitales; Cucurbitaceae. The record is from RefSeq and is a predicted model, not a curated record.
UAUCAGUUAGUUCUUGAAGAUCUUGAUGUUUUGGUCUCUAUAAGGUCUGAUGAGGAUUUAAAGCAUAGGCUUGAUGAGUAUGAUUGCCUAGAGAGUGAAGGAAAGCUUCAAUGUUUCUUAUUUCCUUCAAAUCCAAUUUUCAUUAAGGCUCAGCCAUUCUCCUCAAAUCCCCAGCAAAUUGAGCAACGUUAUUUUGAAGCUAUCAAUGACAUUGUAUGGUCUGGCUCCUUUGCCAAUGUAAAACUCUCCCGUAGUACCGCUAACUGACCUACAUUCAGUAUUUCAUCUACUUGUUCAUCUCCAAAAUCAUCUUCUUUAAAUGCCCAAAUGGCUGAAUCUAUGGCCCAAGAAAUGUUGUCUUGGUAUAGCAUGAAACCAAGUUACCCUCCUAUGCAAAAGGUCCAUAGCUCUCUUAGCCUUUGCAGUUUUAACAACCUUCAACCUCCCACCAACAUCAUUCCGGUUAGUAAACACCAUAUUCAGCAACGCCAUUACCACUAUCAACAAAACAAGCAACAGCAGCAACAUCAUACUUCCAAGGUUGAAAGCUUUUCUUAAGUAAGAUUAAUUGUUAUGUAAGUGAAGUCUUUAAUUUCUUUGGUUUAUUUGGUGGCUUUAUUUUUUUUUUUUUUUUAUUUUUUUUUUUUUUGUUAAUUUGAUGACUUUAAUUGUUGUAAUGUUAGGUAAGUGAAGUCUUUAAUAGUGUCCCAAUUUAAGUUAACCUACUACUUUCAUACAUUCAAACUUUAGAUUUCUCAUAUCAAUCUUUACUUUCGUUGCUUCCAAUGCCUACUGAUUCUUCUUAACUCCAGUAUGUGGAUUUGCUAUCUCUUUUCUUUCCUUUUUCAAAUAUUUCAGAUGCCUACUGAUUUCUCAUAUCCGCUAACAGUUUCCUUUUUCAAAUAUUUCAGAUGAGAAAGGGAAGUUUGAUGAGUUGGUUGAAGAUCAAAAUGUGAAAAUAAUGAUUGAUCCGAAGACUCUGAUGCACAUAAUAGGAACAAAGAUGGACUUUGUCGAUGACAAAUUAAGAAAUGACAUGUAUUGAAAUGACAUAUAUUGAAGAAGCUUUGGGAAGUAUAGUUGCAUGGCCAUCUAAUAAAGUGAUCAUUGGUGAAUGAAAUGGAGUCGUCGAACCAACGAUGACAGUUAGCUCAUAUAAUCUUAUACACUUAUGAUGAACUUUGUUUGUAUUUUGAGGGUUAAUUUGUGUGGUUGGUACAUUAUUUACUAAUAUGUGUAUUUUGUUUGUUAAUUU